AAUUUUUAAAAUCCGCGUUAAUUAAUUAAUAAAGUGCAUCGUUAAUUUCCUAUAAUAAGGUAUUUACCAGAACGCCCUUAGACAUAGUAACUUUGAUCACGAAUUUACGUACACUCGAUCAGGAUGCAUCUCAACGGACACAUAGGAAUAGGCAACGCAACAUAAUUUGGUUCAACCCACCAUUUAGUAGGCCUAAGAGUGUUAACACGAAUAUAGGACGGGAAUUCUUAAGAUUAAUUGACAAACACUUUACACAAUUACACUAAACUGACAACUGUAUUAACUGCGACAACAAAAACACUUGCCCACUACCGAAACAAUGUAUAUAUGACCAACAACAUUAUUUACAAAGCCACAGUCGUAGAGUCAGACGGAUUUAAGACUGGAAAGUAUGAACUAUAUACUGAAUGUCAUAAACAUACUCGUUUAUAUUAAUUCAGCAUCGAACAAUACUAGUUCUGCAAGUGUUUAUAUGUUAUGUUGUGUUAUUGUUCACUCGGUAAUAAGAUAAGGGCCACUGUUAUUGGGGUUUUUAACCCUGUUGUUGGUUCCUGACACUUUAAAGUGUUUAUGUGUGGUAUUUGUACGUUUGUAAUUUAAUUUUUCCUUUUUGUCAUAUCGAAAUAAAAAAAAAAAAAAAA
Molecule: non-coding RNA, 641 nt
Organism: Paramuricea clavata
Lineage: Eukaryota; Metazoa; Cnidaria; Anthozoa; Malacalcyonacea; Plexauridae
Source: the annotation of a GenBank genome assembly